Molecule: long non-coding RNA, 618 nt
Filed under: Nicotiana tabacum (common tobacco)
Lineage: Eukaryota; Viridiplantae; Streptophyta; Magnoliopsida; Solanales; Solanaceae
Description: long non-coding RNA (NTAB_LNC019650)
Source: RNAcentral
AAAUAAGCCCUCCACGACAUGCAUGAUGUAGUUUCAUCGAAGACUAGGUUUCAAAUCUCAGUAGAGGUAAAAUAUCUUAGAGAUAUCUUCUCAUCUGUUUGAGCCUUGUUGGACAGAAUUGCUCUGUAAAUGUACUGAUGGGAGGAUGCAGGUACCCAUGGAUUAGUCGAGGUAUACGCAAGUUGCCCCGUAUAGAGUAGUUAUUAAAAGAGAAAAGGUUACCAUUUGAAGGCCGGAAGGUGUUGGCAGCAUGUAUACGGUCAAAAUCGGGCUUGCCCUUUCUGUGCGACUGAUCGAGGCUGGAACAUGAUAAGUCGAGGAUCAACUUCGAUUCAUAUGGUGCAGAGUUAGGUUGUCAAGCUCGAAACCCUGAGACCGGUUAAGAUCGAGACCGACCAAAAGCGAGACCGACCAAGAUCAAGACCAAAUAAGUUGGAGUUCGAGGGAAGCUUACGGGGUCGAAUAACGGAAAGACAAAAUAUCCGCAAUCGGGCAAAGAUCACGGCGCAAAUCCCGGCACAUAUCAAGAAGAGCCCGAUUAAUUAGCCAAUCGUGAGAUUUCUUACUGUAUUUAGACUUAUAUCAACAGCAAGACUACCCUACUAUAUAAAGGGGUCU